RNAcentral lists this ribosomal RNA (497 nucleotides) under uncultured bacterium. RNAcentral's name for it is "partial 16S ribosomal RNA". It matches the Rfam family "Bacterial small subunit ribosomal RNA", at positions 28 to 507 of the family's 1533-position model. The record is from RNAcentral.
GAUGAACGCUGGCGGCGUGCCUAAUACAUGCAAGUCGAGCGAACAGAUGAGGAGCUUGCUCCUCUGACGUUAGCGGCGGACGGGUGAGUAACACGUGGAUAACCUACCUAUAAGACUGGGAUAACUUCGGGAAACCGGAGCUAAUACCGGAUAAUAUAUUGAACCGCAUGGUUCAAUAGAAAGAGAGGUUUGUUGUCACAUUUAUAUAUGUCUCCGCGCCGUAUUAGAUAGGUGGUAAGGAAACGGCUUACCAAGGCAACGACGCGUAGCCGACCUGAGAGGGUGAUCGGCCACACUGGAACGGAGACACGGUCCAGACUCCUACGGGAGGCAGCAGUAGGGAAUCUUCCGCAAUGGGCGAAAGCCUGACGGAGCAACGCCGCGUGAGUGAUGAAGGUCUUCGGAUCGUAAAACUCUGUUAUUAGGGAAGAACAAAUGUGUAAGUAACUAUGCACGUCUUGACGGUACCUAAUCAGAAAGCCACGGCUAACUACGUG